AUUGAACGCUGGCGGAAUGCUUUACACAUGCAAGUCGAACGGCAGCACGGACCUCGGUCUGGUGGCGAGUGGCGAACGGGUGAGUAAUACAUCGAAACGUGCCCAGUCGUGGGGGAUAACGUAGCGAAAGCUACGCUAAUACCGCAUACGAUCUAAGGAUGAAAGCGGGGGAUCGCAAGACCUCGCGCGAUUGGAGCGGCCGAUGGCAGAUUAGGUAGUUGGUAGGGUAAAGGCCUACCAAGCCGACGAUCUGUAGCUGGUCUGAGAGGAUGAUCAGCCACACUGGGACUGAGACACGGCCCAGACUCCUACGGGAGGCAGAAGUGGGGAAUUUUGGACAAUGGGCGCAAGCCUGAUCCAGCCAUUCCGCGUGCAGGAUGAAGGCCUUCGGGUUGUAAACUGCUUUUGUACAGAACGAAAAGGCUCUGGUUAAUACCCGGGGCUCAUGACGGUACUGUAAGAAUAAGCACCGGCUAACUACGUGCCAGCCGCCGCCGUAA
This 500-nucleotide ribosomal RNA is filed under the name uncultured bacterium. RNAcentral's name for it is "partial 16S ribosomal RNA". It matches the Rfam family "Bacterial small subunit ribosomal RNA", at positions 30 to 523 of the family's 1533-position model. The record is from RNAcentral.